ACAAGCGGUGGAGUAUGUGGUUAAUUCGAUGCAACGCGAAGAACUUACCUGGGCUCGAACGUAAGAUGACUGUAGGUGAAAGCUUACAUCUCUUCGGAGCAUUUUACGAGGUGCUGCAUGGUUGUCGUCAGCUCGUGCCGUGAGGUGUCGGGUUAAGUCCCAUAACGAGCGCAACCCCUACCUUUAGUUGCCAUCAGGUAAUGCUGGGGACUCUAAAGGAACUGCCUACGCAAGUAGUGAGGAAGGCGGGGAUGACGUCAAAUCAGCACGGCCCUUACGUCCAGGGCUACACACGUGCUACAAUGGCCGAUACAGAGGGCAGCUACCUGGUGACAGGAUGCAAAUCUCCAAAGUCGGUCUCAGUUCGGAUCGGAGUCUGCAACCCGACUCCGUGAAGUUGGAUUCGCUAGUAAUCGCGCAUCAGCCAUGGCGCGGUGAAUACGUUCCCGGGCCUU
RNAcentral lists this ribosomal RNA (455 nucleotides) under uncultured Sphingobacteriales bacterium. RNAcentral describes it as "bacterial SSU rRNA". It matches the Rfam family "Bacterial small subunit ribosomal RNA", at positions 925 to 1382 of the family's 1533-position model. The record is from RNAcentral. Lineage: Bacteria; Pseudomonadati; Bacteroidota; Sphingobacteriia; Sphingobacteriales.